AUACGGAAGGUCCGGGCGUUAUCCGGAUUUAUUGGGUUUAAAGGGAGCGCAGGCGGAGAUGCAAGCGUGACGUCAAAUUUCGGGGCUCAACCCCGUCUCGCGUCGCGAACUGCGUCCCUUGGUUGCGGGAAGGGGAGGCGGAACUCGUGGUGUAGCGGUGAAAUGCAUAGAUAUCACGAAGAACUCCGAUCGCGAAGGCAGCCUUCCGGCCCGUCAACGACGCUCAUGCUCGAAGGUGCGGGUAUCAAACAGGAUUAGAUACCCUGGUAGUCCGCACAGUAAACGAUGGACACCCGCGGUUUGGCCUGUGUGGCUGAGCCGCCAAGCGAAAGCGUUAAGUGUCCCACCUGGGGAGUACGCCGGCAACGGUGAAACUCAAAGGAAUUGACGGGG
Molecule: ribosomal RNA, 393 nt
Filed under: uncultured bacterium
Lineage: Bacteria
Description: partial 16S ribosomal RNA
Rfam family: Bacterial small subunit ribosomal RNA
Source: RNAcentral